CGGUAGAGGGGGCAACCCCUUGAGAGUGGCGAACGGGUGAGUAAUAUAUCGGAACGUGCCCAGUCGUGGGGGAUAACGUAGCGAAAGUUACGCUAAUACCGCAUACGAUCUACGGAUGAAAGCGGGGGACUCGCAAGAGCCUCGCGCGAUUGGAGCGGCCGAUAUCAGAUUAGGUAGUUGGUGGGGUAAAGGCUCACCAAGCCAACGAUCUGUAGCUGGUCUGAGAGGACGACCAGCCACACUGGAACUGAGACACGGUCCAGACUCCUACGGGAGGCAGCAGUGGGGAAUUUUGGACAAUGGACGCAAGUCUGAUCCAGCCAUUCCGCGUGCAGGAUGAAGGCCCUCGGGUUGUAAACUGCUUUUGUACGGAACGAAAAGGUUUCUAUUAAUACUAGGAGCUCAUGACGGUACCGUAAGAAUAAGCACCGGCUAACUACGUGCCAGCAGCCGCGGUAAUACGUAGGGUGCAAGCGUUAAUCGGAAUUACUGGGCGUAAAGCGUGCGCAGGCGGUUAUGUAAGACAGAGGUGAAAUCCCCGGGCUCAACCUGGGAACUGCCUUUGUGACUGCAUAGCUAGAGUACGGUAGAGGGGGAUGGAAUUCCGCGUGUAGCAGUGAAAUGCGUAGAUAUGCGGAGGAACACCGAUGGCGAAGGCAAUCCCCUGGACCUGUACUGACGCUCAUGCACGAAAGCGUGGGGAGCAAACAGGAUUAGAUACCCUGGUAGUCCACGCCCUAAACGAUGUCAACUGGUUGUUGGGUCUUCACUGACUCAGUAACGAAGCUAACGCGUGAAGUUGACCGCCUGGGGAGUAC
Molecule: ribosomal RNA, 818 nt
Filed under: uncultured beta proteobacterium
Lineage: Bacteria; Pseudomonadati; Pseudomonadota; Betaproteobacteria
Description: bacterial SSU rRNA
Rfam family: Bacterial small subunit ribosomal RNA
Source: RNAcentral